Molecule: ribosomal RNA, 468 nt
Filed under: uncultured bacterium
Lineage: Bacteria
Description: partial 16S ribosomal RNA
Rfam family: Bacterial small subunit ribosomal RNA
Source: RNAcentral
GACGAACGCUGGCGGCGUGCUUAACACAUGCAAGUCGAACGGAAAGGCCCUGCUUUUGUGGGGUGCUCGAGUGGCGAACGGGUGAGUAACACGUGAGUAACCUGCCCUUGACUUUGGGAUAACUUCAGGAAACUGGGGCUAAUACCGGAUAGGAGCUCCUGCUGCAUGGUGGGGGUUGGAAGGUUUCGGCGGUUGGGGAUGGACUCGCGGCUUAUCAGCUUGUUGGUGGGGUAGUGGCUUACCAAGGCUUUGACGGGUAGCCGGCCUGAGAGGGUGACCGGCCACCUUGGGACUGAGAUACGGCCCAGACUCCUACGUGAGGCAGCAGUGGGGAAUAUUGCACAAUGGGCGGAAGCCUGAUGCAGCAACGCCGCGUGCGGGAUGACGGCCUUCGGGUUGUAAACCGCUUUCGCCUGUGACGAAGCGUGAGUGACGGUAAUGGGUAAAGAAGCACCGGCUAACUACGUG